GAAAUUGUGCGCGGAGGGAGUGCGAUGGGUCCACGCUGGGUGCACUCCCGUCAGCCCAGUGGAAGCUGGAAUGAAGCAGACGCCUGGCCCUCCUUCCUGUAAAGACGGGUGCUGCCUUCUUGCCUGGAAGCAGGACACUGGCUUCUCUCACAACCAAUCCAGAGGUAACCAUUGCAGGCUGGGCAAGGCUGGUAAAGGACAGAGAAGGGGAUAAGGACAAAAGUACCACUUAAUGCUUAAAAAACACACUACCACUCAGAAUGCACACUGCUGCAAAGUGAUAGCUGAGUCCUUCCAAAGGCAUUGCUCUUGCUGCAAGGAGUCAUCUCACCUGAGGUGUAUGUUCCUUCCUGGGGACUGAGAAAUUAGAUGUCCAUUUCCAGCAAGGCAGAGGAGGUCCAGGAGUACUGUUGCGGAUCACCGGACCCCAGAAACCCAGCCCUAGAGACCCCUGUAAGAUGGGCACAGGCAGCGGCUACAGCUGCAUAGCAGACCAGCUUCUCCCUGUGCCCUCCUCUGACCUCCCCCUCAUUACAUUUAUUUUUCUCCAAAAAAUCUCCAUUUCAGAACCUGCUUCAUGGGGGCCUUGCCAAUACUUCCUCAAAGCCUAGAGCUUGCUGAUCACUUUUCAUGUAUUGUUUUCCCAAUUUGUGUCAAGAAGUAGACGUUGCUUAGGGGCAGAUUCUAUCAUGUGCAUCUGAGAGAUGAAAAGGAUGAGACAAGAAUAUCACAGGAAACUAAUGUCAGGGCCACACUUCCAAGUGGAGCCCACAACUCUAACCACAGUCUGCGUGUUGUAGAAGCUGUCCACUCUGUCCUUCCCUCCCUUCUCAGGGUUUCCUUUAGAGUUCUGAAAUCUGUGGGACACAAAAAACAAUUGUGAUUCACAAAGAAUUUUUAUGGUAUAAAUUAACUAUACAAACUUGAAAAAUAGAAGGAAAUCUUCAUUAGUAGUCUUAGAAUUGU
Cavia porcellus (domestic guinea pig) is the source of this 966-nucleotide long non-coding RNA. RefSeq lists it as uncharacterized. The transcript has 3 exons. Lineage: Eukaryota; Metazoa; Chordata; Mammalia; Rodentia; Caviidae. The record is from RefSeq and is a predicted model, not a curated record.